This 938-nucleotide long non-coding RNA is filed under the name Physcomitrium patens. RNAcentral describes it as "long non-coding RNA (PPAT_LNC008351)". Lineage: Eukaryota; Viridiplantae; Streptophyta; Bryopsida; Funariales; Funariaceae. The record is from RNAcentral.
UGGCUUCUUCAAUCAAUGGUAUUUUUUGACCCCCCUUUGAAUUGGCAACCUCUUCCUCUGCUACAUCUUUAUUGUCUGACUUGGUAUUUAAGGAUUCUUCAUCCAAAUGUGUUGUCAGAUCUUCAUUCAACAAAUCCAAUUACCGUACCUAAGAUUGAAGACAGGCAAUUUGGUUAACGUGCUCCUCCAACAUCUUCUGUCAUUCUUUUGUUGGUUUCAAAGGUAUCUCCGAAGGUGUUGUCAUUGAAACAAGCAUAUUGGUUCGUACUAAAUUAUUGGCCUCCUUCUCUAAUUCGGCUAGUUUAGUCUGCAACAUCGCAACCUCUACCUACAACCGCUCUUGCCAUUCCUUCCAAUUGGUCUCCAUCAUUGCUUCCUUAGACACUAUGUUUGCCACCCUCUUCUUUUCUGCCAUCCACUUUUCUUUAAUCCUAACCUUCACCAGCACAAUAUCAAUAGGUGAUAAGUUUUGUGAAAUGCACAAAAAUCCAUGCAUAUGCACUCCUCAAAAAUCUUGCUAUUUCUCCUUAGUCCAACAAACAUGCAAUCGAGUCGGCUCCAUAUUAGUCACAAUAAUAUACUCCAAUAGUGGCAAUUCAUCCUUACACCUUACCUUGCAUUGUUUCUCCUCUCUAUUCAACUGCCUCUUAGUCUUCUCAAUCGCCAUUAUAUUUUAAUACAAGCAAGCACUAACAACUAAUCUCUCAAAAAACACAUACAUAGCUACUUACACAAAAGAAAACACAAUGCUUGUCAAGAGUCUCCUUCCUACUUCUUACUAUGGUUCAAUCAAUUGGGUCGACUCCCCCUUAUUUUCCAUGAUUUGUCAUGAUGAAAUAUUCUACUAAUUAGGUCUGAUAACCAAUCUUUACUAUCGCCAUCACUAAUCCCAUCCAUAUUCCUCACACUUCUUAUCACCUUAUAUUUAUUAUCCUAUC